This 274-nucleotide long non-coding RNA is filed under the name Gossypium barbadense (sea-island cotton). RNAcentral's name for it is "long non-coding RNA (GBAR_LNC002413)". The record is from RNAcentral. Lineage: Eukaryota; Viridiplantae; Streptophyta; Magnoliopsida; Malvales; Malvaceae.
UGUGUUACAAAAUGAAAGAAAAAUAAUUACUUUUAACUAAAAGGUAAAUAUUCGUAACUAUUUUCUAAAAAUUUAAGUAAAAAAAGGUUUGAAUCCUCUAGUAACACCCCAACCCAUUGGGUGGUCCAUCUGGCUUAAGGUUAUACACCAUAUUUCCUGACAGAUUAAUGAGUGUUACAAGUUUUGGUAUUAGAGCCUAGGUUUAUUCGACCCUCGAAAACCAAAGGCUAAAUCACACCCCACUAUGCAUGAUAUAUCUUUGGCUUAGUCCCUG